Oryzias melastigma (Indian medaka) is the source of this 1403-nucleotide long non-coding RNA. RefSeq lists it as uncharacterized. The record is from RefSeq and is a predicted model, not a curated record. Lineage: Eukaryota; Metazoa; Chordata; Actinopteri; Beloniformes; Adrianichthyidae. The transcript has 5 exons.
GUACACUUAACUCAAGAAGGAGAGGACAGCAUGAGGGAAAAAACGAAGUUUUAGACCACAAAUAGUUACUUUAAAAUUAUUUCCCUUAAGAGUUUGGAAAACUAAUGCUUGAAACUCUUUGAUCGGAGGUCACAGAGGAGGAACCCGCCGCAUCAUGUUAGACCAGAGUAUGGAUCCCAUCUGCUUCUGUUCCAAUGCACAUCUGUUGCCAUGGCAACACGCUCACCUGGAUAAUUAAGUUGUUUAGCAGCCUGGAAGAAAAAAAGGGCUUCCCAGAUUGGAAUGGCACAACAUCCUAACAGAGCAGCAUCUUCAGCUAUCAGCACUAGAAUCUUCAGCAGUCAAAGCAUUAUCACAGGAGCGUCUGAACUGAAGAGUUGGCGAGGAACGCCGGGUGUCGGCGAGGAGGAACCUGCAGCACCAACAGUGCGAUUCUUCACAGCUUUCCUGCUGCUUUUCAUGGCGCCGAAUCAGAAGGCUUCCACCUCAUUUCUGGGAUUCAGACACGUGGCAGCUGGAGAGGGUUGGGCCAAACCCCCGGAGGAGCUGGAUUCCUCCGUCUCUCCUGCAGCGUCGCCGAGGAGGUAACAAACAGAAGCCGGCUGAGUAAAUACCAGGAGCCAAACGGGCGAGGAAGAGGAGCGCGGAGGAUGAAGGCAGUCCUGCGGCUGAGGAGGGAAAAAGUGACAAGAGAAAGCUGAAUGGAAGAGAAUCUUUGAGUGGAAGUAAAAAAGACAGCUGAGAGAAUCAACAAAUGUGUGCAGAAAGAAGCGAGCAUCAAAGCGUCAGCGGGGAAUACAGCAGAGCUUCAGUUCACCUCCUGCCAGCUGGAAGAGAGGAGCGCAGAAAGGAAAAAAUAGCUUUGGUGAAUUAAAAAAGCUUCUGCUCAGAUGCAGUUCAGACUUUCCAGCAAAUAAAAACCUGACAAAUGCUGGCAGAAGCAGCAGACGCACAAACUUCUGCAGUAAAAGUGACACCAGACGCUGUCGAUUACAGUCCUGUCAUUAAAGAAAAGCAAACUAAACCAGAGAGCUGGAUUACCUGUGAUAAUACUAGAGUGAUGCUUUUAGCUGAAAGUGGUCACUAAGAAGGCUGAAGAAUUGUAUUUUAUUUCCUGAAUGCCAUAAAUGUGCUCAACGUUUUAAUACCAAACAAAACAAAGAAUUUAAAGAAUCUCAUGAAAAACAAACUGCAAUGUUAUUAAAAUAUUAGCAUAACUCCAAAUUAGCCAAAAAUAAAAACUCAGUAGAUGACAACUUAGCAAAAAAAAGCUAACAUGUUGCUAAAAUAUUAGCUUGACUCCAAAUUAGCCCAAAACAACUCAGUAGAUGAAAACUUAGCCAGAGAAGCUAACAUGUUGCUAAAUUAUUACCUCAACUCCAAAUUAGCACAGAAAAACCUCA